UACGUAGGGUGCAAGCGUUGUCCGGAAUUAUUGGGCGUAAAGAGCUCGUAGGCGGUCUGUCGCGUCGGCUGUGAAAACUCGGGGCUCAACCCCGAGCCUGCAGUCGAUACGGGCAGACUAGAGUGUGGUAGGGGAGACUGGAAUUCCUGGUGUAGCGGGUGGAAUGCGCAGAUAUCAGGAGGAACACCGAUGGCGAAGGCAGGUCUCUGGGCCAUUACUGACACUGAGAAGCGAAAGCAUGGGGAGCGAACAGGAUUA
RNAcentral lists this ribosomal RNA (258 nucleotides) under uncultured bacterium. Its description in RNAcentral is "partial 16S ribosomal RNA". It matches the Rfam family "Bacterial small subunit ribosomal RNA", at positions 524 to 780 of the family's 1533-position model. The record is from RNAcentral.